RNAcentral lists this ribosomal RNA (345 nucleotides) under Triticum aestivum (bread wheat). RNAcentral describes it as "partial small subunit ribosomal RNA". Lineage: Eukaryota; Viridiplantae; Streptophyta; Magnoliopsida; Poales; Poaceae. The record is from RNAcentral.
AUGCGGGUUCAGGUUGAUGUCAUGAUCGAGGGUGUCCCGUCCCAUGCGUGGGCUCAAGAGAUGGCGGCAGAGCUGCUUGGGAGUGCAUGUUUGAUCGAGAGCUUGGCACCGGAGAUGGCCAGCAGGGAAGACAUGUCGUUGUUCAAGUUGAGAGCUUGGUGUGUGGAUCCUGAGGAAGUGUCGGUGUUUCGGAGGCUGUGGGUGCCGGAGCCGCCAGAGGUGGCCCCUGACCCGGCAGCAAGGCGAGCGUCGUUCCGGCAGCUCCUGGAGUAUCCGGUGUUCAUUCACAUCGGCAGGCUGAGGGUUUUUUCGCCGCCAGAUGUGGAGACGUGCAUCGGGAUCUGA